UUUCCGCUUCUUUCCUCCCUGAGCGGAAGCCUUAGACAAUAAGGCAUUUCGCCCCAACUCUUUCCCCUUUGAGUUGGGGCUUUUUUUU
This is a small RNA of Methylotenera versatilis 301, 88 nucleotides long. It matches the Rfam family "Burkholderia RNA 7 (anti-hemB)". Rfam says of the family: This RNA motif was identified by computational search in b-proteobacteria Burkholderia. Co-purified with Hfq, expression confirmed by Northern blot. Lineage: Bacteria; Pseudomonadati; Pseudomonadota; Betaproteobacteria; Nitrosomonadales; Methylophilaceae. The record is from Rfam.